AUUGAACGCUGGCGGCAGGCCUAACACAUGCAAGUCGAGCGGUAACAGAGAUUAGCUUGCUAAUCUGCUGACGAGCGGCGGGCGGGUGUGUAAUGCAUAGGAAGUUGCCCAGUAGAGGGGGAUACCAGUUGGAAACGACUGUUAAUACCGCAUGAUCUCUUUGGAGCAAAGCAGGGGACCUUCGGGCCUUGCGCUACUGGAUACGCCUAUGUGGGAUUAGCUAGUUGGUGAGGUAAUGGCUCACCAAGGCGACGUACCCUAGCUGGUUUAAGCGGAUGAUGAGCCACACUGGGACGAGGACACGGCCCAGACUCCUACGGGAGGCAGCAGUGGGGAAUAUUGCACAAUGGGCGAAAGCCUGAUGCAGCCAUGCCGCGUGUAUGAAGAAGGCCUUCGGGUUUUAAAGUACUUUCAGUUGUGAGGAAGGUUGUGUAGUUAAUAGCUGCAUAAUUUGACGUUAGCAACAGAAGAAGCACCGGCUAACUCCGUG
Molecule: ribosomal RNA, 490 nt
Filed under: uncultured bacterium
Lineage: Bacteria
Description: partial 16S ribosomal RNA
Rfam family: Bacterial small subunit ribosomal RNA
Source: RNAcentral